Molecule: ribosomal RNA, 253 nt
Filed under: uncultured bacterium
Lineage: Bacteria
Description: partial 16S ribosomal RNA
Rfam family: Bacterial small subunit ribosomal RNA
Source: RNAcentral
UACGUAGGGGGCAAGCGUUGUCCGGAUUUAUUGGGCGUAAAGAGCGUGUAGGCGGCUAGAUAGGUCCGUUGUGAAAACUCGAGGCUCAACCUCGAGACGCCGGUGGAAACCAUCUAGCUAGAGUCCGGAAGAGGAGAGUGGAAUUCCUGGUGUAGCGGUGAAAUGCGCAGAUAUCAGGAAGAACACCCGUGGCGAAGGCGGCUCUCUGGGACGUGACUGACGCUGAGGAGCGAAAGCGUGGGGAGCGAACAGG